Long non-coding RNA from Gallus gallus (chicken), 547 nucleotides. The record is from Ensembl. Lineage: Eukaryota; Metazoa; Chordata; Aves; Galliformes; Phasianidae.
UCAGAGCCCAGCCUGUGCCCAGAUGUAUUUCCUUCAUCCAUCAACCAGCUGUUCCUUCAGCUCACCACUGCUGCUAGCGCUGCCGAAACAAGCUGCCAGGAGCUCUUCAGUUUAACCACGGGGUUAUUUACAGCUGCUUUGAGGAUACCAUAGAUAAAAUCUAUCUAUGGCCCUGGGAUAGACUCAGUGGAGAAGAUGCCUCGGAGGCAGGGAUGCUGCUGCUCUGGUUGGGAUUAGCAUCUGUGUGGCGGUCUGCAGGAGGAUGGUUUGUGUCUCAGCUGCAGCACUUAUUGGAGAUGACGGGACAGAAGCUGCUGGGUCCCCGCUGACCUCCCCACCAGUGGCAGUGAUGUGCUGCAGCACAACAUGACCCAGGCAAAGGGUUUCACCAUGCUGUGAUGGAAGCUCUCUGCUCACUCUGCUCCACACAGGCUGACUUUUUGCACCACGCACCGCCAGCAGCAGCCCGCCUGCCCCAACACGACUUUGCAACUGUCCCUGCCUCUGCUGAAGUCUUCAGUAUACACUGAUGCACAACCUGCUAUAA